CCCGAGUAGCUGGGACUACAGGUGCCUGCCACCAUGCUCGGCUAAUUUUUUUCGUUUUUUUGUAUUUUUUAGAGAUAGGGUUUCACCGUGUUAGCCAGAUGGUCUUGAUCUCCUGACCUCGUGAUCCGCCCACCUUGGCCUCCCAAAGUGCUGGGAUUACAGGUGUGAGCCACAGCGCCCGGCCUGGAAUUAUAAUCUUAAUCAGAUGUCGAUGAAACAUUCAAUGGAAUUGAGCUUUGCAGCCAUUUCUGGGAAAUUCCACUGAGGCUUGCUCUUGUUCCAGGGCACUCUGACUGCAACUCCAGUUUACUAAGAAGAACAUAUUUUGUCCCCUAAAAUAAUUAUCAAG
Molecule: long non-coding RNA, 349 nt
Filed under: Macaca mulatta (Rhesus monkey)
Lineage: Eukaryota; Metazoa; Chordata; Mammalia; Primates; Cercopithecidae
Description: lncRNA (ENSMMUG00000053407.1)
Source: RNAcentral